AAAUGUGGACCGAAAAUUGGUUUGGAUGGUUCCUUUCAUUUGGUGGUGCCGUUCCCUACAGAGCUGUAGAAGACCUAGCAUUUGCGGUUGCACGGUUUUACCAAAGAGGUGGAACUUUCCAAAACUAUUAUAUGUAUCAUGGUGGAACAAACUUUGGCAGGACUACAGGUGGACCCUUCAUUACUACUAGUUAUGAUUAUGAUGCUCCAAUUGAUGAGUAUGGACUUGUUAGACAACCUAAGUGGGGUCACCUAAGAGAUGUUCAUAAGGCUAUAAAGCUUUAUGAAGAAGCACUGCUAGCCACUGAUCCUACCAUU
Long non-coding RNA from Hibiscus syriacus, 317 nucleotides. RefSeq lists it as uncharacterized. The record is from RefSeq and is a predicted model, not a curated record. The transcript is spliced from 4 exons. Lineage: Eukaryota; Viridiplantae; Streptophyta; Magnoliopsida; Malvales; Malvaceae.